UCACUCUGUAGACCAGGCUGGCUCGAUCUCAGAAAUCUGCCUGCUUCCCAAGUGCUGGGAUUAAAGGUGAGUGCCACCACUGCCCAGCUGGGGGCUCCCCUUUUAGGGAUGCUCUUGAACGCUAAUGUUUGGUGAGGACCAGAAGCCUGCUUGGUUCUCAGACUGCAUUAUUUAGUGGCUUUCCAAACAAACACUAGGGGAAGCUGACAAGAACCAGGCUGGCCUGGCAGGGUAAAGGUUCUUAGCGUCCAUUACAGUCCAGCUCAUAACCGUAAACUCUCCUUGCUCAGGAGCACAGUACCAUGCAGAAGUUACACUGCACACAAGUUGACAAAAUCGUGGCCCAGUAUGACAAAGAGAAGUCGACUCAUGAGAAAAUCCUAGAGAAGGCGAUGAAGAAGAAGGGGUAAGACUGAUGAUUGACUUGCGAUGCAUCCCCCCUGUAGGAGUGUGACUCAGCUGCCUUCAUGGACCACAAGGGACUCAGUGUUACUGCGACUUCAUCAUUAAAGACUACCCCUAGGAAAAAAAUGUGAUCCCUUCAUUUCAGUCCCUGUGUCAUCACAGCGGGGUGUGGCAUCAGUCAGCUUAGUUGUGGUUUAAGGAUGGUCUCAAUAGAGUUCUCAGAACCUUUAGUUCAUGGCAAUCUGUACUGUGUUUUGGGGUUUUUGUUUGUUUGUUUGGUUAGUUUGGUUUGGUUUUUGUUGUUGUUGUUUGUGAUUAAGAAGUUAGC
RNAcentral lists this long non-coding RNA (733 nucleotides) under Mus musculus (house mouse). Its description in RNAcentral is "long non-coding RNA chr2:135994003-135994736". The record is from RNAcentral. Lineage: Eukaryota; Metazoa; Chordata; Mammalia; Rodentia; Muridae.